GGCUAGCUUUAAAUAUUUGCAUUUAUAUCGCACACUCGCAGUGUAAUUAAUUAACCUUACGACUCUACUUAUCUCGUUCGAAGCCUAUCCACUCGCAUAUGGACAAUUUCGGCUCCCUGGUGAUGUAAUGUGUUUAUUGAUAUUUCGCUUGUUUUGGUUUUUUGGUAGCAAAACUACCGAAAAUCAAGACAAUGUUUCCCUUUUCACGAAACUGGUUACAGUGUUUCGCGAGGCAAAAUUCCAGGCCGCUAAACAACCGCAGAUUGCUGGAAUCGGUUGAGUGCGAUGGUUGUCCUACUCCUACCUAUUUUGUAUUCCUCGAUGUCAUUGCAGCCAAUUAACUGCGGAUCAGCGAUUUUGCGGACAAAAACAAAGGGGGGAAAUGCGUGAACUGGCUGCACAGCGGAAUUCUAUCAACUUAAAGUCUAGAUUUACCACUCACAUACUAGUACAUGGAUGGACGGCCGUCGGAGUUUUCCAAUUUUCCACGCACAAGCAACCGAUGGGAAAGCUUUUCUUUGGAGUUUUUCACUCGCUCUUUUCGCCACGAGCGUUGGCACUUUUCAGUUUCGGUUUCAGUUUUUGCUCGCCGUGCGGCGCAGUCGACGAGGCAGCGACGUCGACGCUAGAAAACACGAAGCGCUCGAUUUGAUUCACCGGCCGAGCUUCAGCUUCGUUUGGCUGAUAAAUACCUGUGCGCCAGGUGAUAAUGGCCCAUUGUGAUAAUAAAACAGCGCCAUAAACCA
Molecule: long non-coding RNA, 746 nt
Organism: Drosophila teissieri
Lineage: Eukaryota; Metazoa; Arthropoda; Insecta; Diptera; Drosophilidae
Exons: 4
Source: RefSeq, a predicted model, not a curated record